UACGGUGGGGGCAAGCGUUGUUCGGAAUUACUGGGCGUAAAGGGCUCGUAGGUGGCCAACUAAGUCAGACGUGAAAUCCCUCGGCUUAACCGGGGAACUGCGUCUGAUACUGGAUGGCUUGAGUUCGGGAGAGGGAUGCGGAAUUCCAGGUGUAGCGGUGAAAUGCGUAGAGAUGUGGAGGAAUACCAAUGGCGAAGGCAGCCCCCUGGGAUAAUAUUGACGCUCAUGCACGAAAGCGUGGGGAGCAAACAGG
Molecule: ribosomal RNA, 253 nt
Filed under: uncultured bacterium
Lineage: Bacteria
Description: partial 16S ribosomal RNA
Rfam family: Bacterial small subunit ribosomal RNA
Source: RNAcentral